This 500-nucleotide ribosomal RNA is filed under the name uncultured bacterium. RNAcentral's name for it is "partial 16S ribosomal RNA". It matches the Rfam family "Bacterial small subunit ribosomal RNA", at positions 30 to 523 of the family's 1533-position model. The record is from RNAcentral.
AUUGAACGCUGGCGGAAUGCUUUACACAUGCAAGUCGAACGGCAGCACGGACUUCGGUCUGGUGGCGAGUGGCGAACGGGUGAGUAAUGUAUCGGAACGUGCCCAGUCGUGGGGGAUAACGUAGUGAAAAUUACGCUAAUACCGCAUACGAUCUAUGGAUGAAAGCGGGGGAUCGCAAGACCUCGCGCGAUUGGAGCGGCCGAUAUCAGAUUAGGUAGUUGGUGGGGUAAAGGCCCACCAAGCAAACGAUCUGUAGCUGGUCUGAGAGGACGAGCAGCCACACUGGAACGGAGACACGGUCCAGACUCCUACGGGAGGCAGCAGUGGGGAAUUUUGGACAAUGGGCGAAAGCCUGAUCCAGCCAUUCCGCGUGCAGGAUGAAGGCCCUCGGGUUGUAAACUGCUUUUGUACAGAACGAAAAGGUUUCUACUAAUACUAGGAGCUCAUGACGGUACUGUAAGAAUAAGCAUCGGCUAAUUACGUGCCAGCCGCCGCCGUAA